RNAcentral lists this ribosomal RNA (351 nucleotides) under uncultured bacterium. RNAcentral's name for it is "bacterial SSU rRNA". It matches the Rfam family "Bacterial small subunit ribosomal RNA", at positions 29 to 346 of the family's 1533-position model. The record is from RNAcentral.
AACGAACGCUGGCGGCGUGGAUUAGGCAUGCAAGUCGAACGAGGGAGCAUCCCGAAAGGGAUGCAAACCGAGUGGCGUAAGGGUGAGUAAUACAUUGAUAACCUACCUCCAAGAUGGGAAUAACAACGUUCCAAGCAAUUGGGGCUACCGAAAGGGUUGCUAAUACUCAAUAAAAUUAUUGUUGCUUCGGCAAUAAUAGUCAAAUAGGCGGAAUCGAAAGAUUCCGCUUGCUUGAAGAGGGGUCAAUGUCCUAUCAGCUAGUUGUGGGGUAAUAGCCCACAAGGCGAAGCGGGUACCGGCUGAGAGGGUGUCGGCCAACUGGGACUGAGAUACUGCCCAGACUCUACGGGA